RNAcentral lists this ribosomal RNA (464 nucleotides) under uncultured bacterium. Its description in RNAcentral is "partial 16S ribosomal RNA". It matches the Rfam family "Bacterial small subunit ribosomal RNA", at positions 339 to 795 of the family's 1533-position model. The record is from RNAcentral.
CUACGGGAUGCUGAAGUGAGGAAUUUUGCGCAAUGGGGGAAAAAAGGAAGUAGCAACGCCGCGUGAGCGAGGCCUUCCCUCUUUUCUUCCCUCUCCGUCAAGGGGGACAAAAAUGUUUUGAUCAAUAGUCAAAAGACUUGAUGGUACCACUGGAGGAAGCACCGGCUAACUCCGUGCCAGCAGCCGCGGUAAUACGGAGGGUGCAAGCGUUGUUCGGAUUUACUGGGCGUAAAGAGCGUGUAGGCGGUUUAGCAAGUCAGAUGUGAAAGCCCUGGGCUCAACCCGGGAAGUGCAUUUGAAACUGCUUCACUAGAGUAUGGGAGAGGAGAUUGGAAUUCCUGGUGUAGAGGUGAAAUUCGUAGAUAUCAGGAGGAACACCCGUGGCGAAGGCGAUUCUCUGGACCAAUACUGACGCUGAGACGCGAAAGCGUGGGGAGCAAACAGGAUUAGAUACCCUAGUAGUC